UGGGGAAUAUUGCACAAUGGGCGCAAGCCUGAUGCAGCCAUGCCGCGUGUGUGAAGAAGGCCUUCGGGUUGUAAAGCACUUUCAGCGAGGAGGAAGGCGGUGAACUUAAUACGUUCAUCAAUUGACGUUACUCGCAGAAGAAGCACCGGCUAACUCCGUGCCAGCAGCCGCGGUAAUACGGAGGGUGCAAGCGUUAAUCGGAAUUACUGGGCGUAAAGCGCACGCAGGCGGUUUGUUAAGUCAGAUGUGAAAUCCCCGGGCUCAACCUGGGAACUGCAUUUGAAACUGGCAAGCUAGAGUCUCGUAGAGGGGGGUAGAAUUCCAGGUGUAGCGGUGAAAUGCGGUAGAGAUCUGGAGGAAUACCGGUGGCGAAGGCGGCCCCCUGGACGAAGACUGACGCUCAGGCUGCGAAAGCGUGGGGAGCAAACNGGAUUAGAUACCCUGGUAGUCCACGCUGUAAAACGAUGUCGAUUUUGGNGGUUAGUGCCCUUGAGGCGUGGCUUCCGGAGCUAACGCGUU
RNAcentral lists this ribosomal RNA (519 nucleotides) under uncultured bacterium. Its description in RNAcentral is "partial 16S ribosomal RNA". It matches the Rfam family "Bacterial small subunit ribosomal RNA", at positions 355 to 861 of the family's 1533-position model. The record is from RNAcentral.